GAUGAAGAACGUAGCGAAAUGCGAUAAGUAGUGUGAAUUGCAGAAUUCAGUGAAUCAUCGAAUCUUUGAACGCACAUUGCGGCCAUAGGUAUUCCUUUGGCCAUGCCUGUUCGAGUGUCAUUUACACCCUCAAGCCUAGCUUGGUGUUGGGCGCCUGUCCCGCCGUUUUCGCGCGCGGACUCGCCUCAAAGUCAUUGGCGGCGGUCGUGCCGGCCCCCUCGCGCAGCACAUUUGCGCUUCUCGGAGGCCCGGCGGAUCCGCGCUCCAGCAAGACCUUUCACGACUUGACCUCGGAUCAGGUAGGGAUACCCGCUGAACUUAAGCAUAUCAAUAAGCGGAGGA
Molecule: unclassified non-coding RNA, 342 nt
Filed under: soil metagenome
Description: partial contains 5.8S ribosomal RNA, internal transcribed spacer 2, and large subunit ribosomal RNA
Rfam family: 5.8S ribosomal RNA (bases 1-120)
Source: RNAcentral